UACCAGCACCCCGAGUGGUCGGGACGUUUAUUGGGCCUAAAGCAUCCGUAGCCUGUUCUGCAAGUCUUCCGUUAAAUCCACCUGCUUAACAGAUGGGCCGCGGAAGAUACUAUAGAGCUAGGAGGCGGGAGAGGCAAGCGGUACUCGAUGGGUAGGGGUAAAAUCCGUUGAUCCAUUGAAGACCACCAGUGGCGAAGGCGGCUUGCCAGAACGCGCUCGACGGUGAGGGAUGAAAGCUGGGGGAGCAAACCGG
RNAcentral lists this ribosomal RNA (253 nucleotides) under uncultured bacterium. Its description in RNAcentral is "partial 16S ribosomal RNA". It matches the Rfam family "Archaeal small subunit ribosomal RNA", at positions 474 to 727 of the family's 1478-position model. The record is from RNAcentral.